RNAcentral lists this ribosomal RNA (1484 nucleotides) under uncultured prokaryote. Its description in RNAcentral is "partial 16S ribosomal RNA". It matches the Rfam family "Bacterial small subunit ribosomal RNA". The record is from RNAcentral.
GAGUUUGAUCCUGGCUCAGGAUGAACGCUAGCGGCAGGCCUAAUACAUGCAAGUCGAACGGUAAGGCUCCUUCGGGAGUACACGAGUGGCGCACGGGUGAGUAACGCGUAUGCAACCUACCUUGAACUGAGGGAUAGCCCAGAGAAAUCUGGAUUAAUACUUCAUACAAAUAUAAUUUGGCAUCAUUUUAUAUUUAAAGCUCCGGCGGUUUAAGAUGGGCAUGCGUGACAUUAGUUAGUUGGUGAGGUAACGGCUCACCAAGACAGCGAUGUCUAGGGGUUCUGAGAGGAUUUUCCCCCACACUGGUACUGAGACACGGACCAGACUCCUACGGGAGGCAGCAGUAAGGAAUAUUGGGCAAUGGACGAAAGUCUGACCCAGCCAUGCCGCGUGCAGGAUGACAGCCCUAUGGGUCGUAAACUGCUUUUAUAUGGGAAGAAACUCCACUACGUGUAGUGGACUGACGGUACCAUACGAAUAAGGAUCGGCUAACUCCGUGCCAGCAGCCGCGGUAAUACGGAGGAUCCAAGCGUUAUCCGGAUUUAUUGGGUUUAAAGGGUGCGCAGGCGGGCUAAUAAGUCAGUGGUGAAAUCUCUCGGCUCAACCGAGAAACUGCCAUUGAAACUGUUAGUCUUGAGUACAGUUGUGGUAGGCGGAAUGUGUAAUGUAGCGGUGAAAUGCUUAGAUAUUACACAGAACACCGAUUGCGUAGGCAGCUUACCAGACUGGAACUGACGCUGAGGCACGAAAGCGUGGGUAGCAAACAGGAUUAGAUACCCUGGUAGUCCACGCCGUAAACGAUGAUCACUCGUUGUUUGGCAAUACAUCGUCAGCGACCAAGCGAAAGUGUUAAGUGAUCCACCUGGGGAGUACGCUCGCAAGAGUGAAACUCAAAGGAAUUGACGGGGGCCCGCACAAGCGGUGGAACAUGUGGUUUAAUUCGAUGAUACGCGAGGAACCUUACCUGGGCUUAAAUGCAGAACGACGAUUCGGGAAACCGAUUCUCCCUUCGGGGCGUUCUACAAGGUGCUGCAUGGUUGUCGUCAGCUCGUGCCGUGAGGUGUCGGGUUAAGUCCCAUAACGAGCGCAACCCUUAUCGUUAGUUGCCAGCGGGUCAUGCCGGGGACUCUAACGAAACUGCCGGUGUAAACCGAGAGGAAGGUGGGGAUGACGUCAAAUCAGCACGGCCCUUAUGUCCAGGGCUACACACGUGUUACAAUGGCCGAUACAAAGGGCAGCUACCAGGCGACUGGAUGCUAAUCUCUAAAGUCGGUCUCAGUUCGGAUCGAAGUCUGCAACUCGACUUCGUGAAGGUGGAUUCGCUAGUAAUCGCGUAUCAGCAACGACGCGGUGAAUACGUUCCCGGGCCUUGUACACACCGCCCGUCAAGCCAUGGAAGUUUGGGGUACCUAAAGUCCGUAACCGCAAGGAACGGCCUAGGGUAAAACAGAUGACUGGGGUUAAGUCGUAACAAGGUAGCCGUA